Molecule: non-coding RNA, 148 nt
Organism: Homo sapiens (human)
Lineage: Eukaryota; Metazoa; Chordata; Mammalia; Primates; Hominidae
Rfam family: Metazoan signal recognition particle RNA
About the family: The signal recognition particle (SRP) is a universally conserved ribonucleoprotein. It is involved in the co-translational targeting of proteins to membranes. The eukaryotic SRP consists of a 300-nucleotide 7S RNA and six proteins: SRPs 72, 68, 54, 19, 14, and 9.
Source: Rfam
GCCGGGCAUGGUGGCGCAUGUCUGUAGUCCCAGCUACUCGGGAGGCUGAGGCAGAAGAAUCGCUUGAACCCGGGAGGCAGAGGUUGCAGUGAGCUGAGAUCGCACCACUACACUCCAGCCUGGGUGACAGAGCGAGACUCUGUCUCAA